GGGAUAUUGAUGUAAUGGUAGCUUGACACCUUGCCAUGGUGUACGCGUGGGUUCGAUUCCCGCAUAUCCCUC
RNAcentral lists this transfer RNA (72 nucleotides) under Microbacterium phage Cece. Its description in RNAcentral is "tRNA-Gly". It matches the Rfam family "tRNA". From Rfam's summary of the family: Transfer RNA (tRNA) molecules are approximately 80 nucleotides in length. Their secondary structure includes four short double-helical elements and three loops (D, anti-codon, and T loops). The record is from RNAcentral. Lineage: Duplodnaviria; Heunggongvirae; Uroviricota; Caudoviricetes.